Apodemus sylvaticus (European woodmouse) is the source of this 840-nucleotide long non-coding RNA. RefSeq lists it as uncharacterized. The record is from RefSeq and is a predicted model, not a curated record. Lineage: Eukaryota; Metazoa; Chordata; Mammalia; Rodentia; Muridae. The transcript is spliced from 2 exons.
CCGGAGGCCGAGGGCCUCAGGGCUGUCUCACAGGCUCCCCAGCUGAUCUACAAUUCAAUUCUCUUUUGUGCACAAUCCCAGACACUGUCUAACAGUUCAGAUCCAAGCUUUCAACCCCAAGGCUUUAGCCUCAGGCACUCCCUGAGCUCAGCUGGACAUGCAGAGACCGAGGCAGACCGGAAUCUAGGCCAGAGACCAACUGACUAUGUUGCUUCAUUUGCCUUGGACGGAGAAGGUGGAUUUCUGAUCUGACUUAGCAUCGGUUGCCUUCUGGGUCCCAGCCACUGGAUGGAAAGUCUGUGAGGGGUCAGAAGAUGGUCCUCACAGAGCCAUGAGGCCCUCACAGAACUUCAUACAAAGCAGAUUAAAGACAAAACACUCAAGGCAGCCAUGAUGAUGACUCAGACUAAAGUGGCCCUGACCCAGAACAUUCCAGGAUAGAGCAGUGGGUGACCCGUGGGUGAAAAGCUUACAGGACAAAAGUCACCAGACAUCUGAGGAAGAAAGCUACCCGAAAAGAAUGUCAACAAACUGGGAACCAUGUGACCUCCAGCAGAAACCAGCACAGGCCAACUAAGGGUGUCAAAGAGGGACGGGCAGAGACACUUGACAGAGUGAGGAGGAAGGUAUAUAUGCAAAGUAAGAGCGGAAGUCAGAGAAAGAACUAGAAAUAUCACAUGUGAGAUGCAUAAAACAGAUCACUGAGAAAUAAUAAAAACAUGAGAAAUCGCUCAUUGAAAAAAUAAUAAGAACAUGGACCCGUAUUUUGGUGGGGUUUUCUUCUUUGUGGGGGGAUAGGAUAUGAAAACACAGAAUAAUAAAUUAGACUUCAAAUUUUCA